This 1519-nucleotide long non-coding RNA is filed under the name Salmo salar (Atlantic salmon). RNAcentral describes it as "lncRNA (ENSSSAG00000102912.1)". The record is from RNAcentral. Lineage: Eukaryota; Metazoa; Chordata; Actinopteri; Salmoniformes; Salmonidae.
GUGAAGGGGAGGAAUAUAGAAGAUGUGGAGGGUUAGAGGAGGAAUAGAGAGAAGAUGAGGUGGAGAGUAGGAAUAGAGAAUAUGAGGAGGGAUAGAGAGAAGAUGAGGAGGGGGAGAGGAGGAAUAGAGAGAAGAUGAGGAGGAAUAGAGAAGAUGAGGAGGUGGAGAUGAAUAGAGAGAAGAUGAGGAGAUGGAGAGGAGGAAUAGAGAGAAGAUGAAGAAUAGAGAAAAUGAGGAGGUGGAGAGAGAUGGAGAGGAGGAAUAGAGAGAAGAUGAGGAGGAAUAGAGAGAAGAUGAGGUGGAGGGGAGGAAAAGAGAAGAUGAGGUGAAGGGGAGGAAUAUAGAAGAUGUGGAGGGUUAGAGGGGGAAUAGAGAGAGAUGAGGGGGAGAGGAGGAAUGGAGAAGAUGAGGAAUAGAGAGAAGGUUGAGGAAUAGAGAAGAUGAGGAGGAAAGAGAAGAUGAGGAGGAAUAGAGAGAAGGUGAGGAGGAAUAGAGAGAAGAUGAGGAGGGGGAGAAGAGGGAGAAGAGGAAUAGAUAUAGGUUCAGGAAGUGGAGAUGAGGAAUAGGGAGAAGAUGAAGAGGUGGAAAUGAGGAAUAGAGAGAAGAUGAGGAGGAAAAGAGAGAAGAUGAGGAGGUGGAGAGGAGGAAUAGAGAAGAUGAGGUGGAGAGAGAAGAUGUGGAUAAAUAGACAGAAGAUGAGGAUGAAUAGAGAGAAUGCAAGGAGGAUUUGAGAUAAAAUGAGGAUGUAGAGAGGAGGAAUAGAGAGAAGAUGAUGAGGAAUAGAGAGAAGAUGAGGAGGAAUAGAGAUGAGGAGCAAUAGAGAGAAGAUGAGGUGGAGAGGAGGAAUAGAGAGAUGAGGUGGAGAGGAGGAAUAGAGAGAGAGAAGAUGAGGAGGUGGAGAGGAGGAAUAGAGAGAAGAUGAGGGGGAGAGGAGGAAUAGAGAGAAGUUGAGGGGGAGAUGAGGAAUAGAGACAUGAUGAGGAGGUAGAGAAGAGGAAUAGAGUAGAUGAGGAGGUGGAGAGGGGUAAUGGAGAGAAUAUGAUGAGUAAUAGAGAGAAGAUGAGGAGGUGGACAGGAGGAAUAGAAAGAAGAUGAGGUGGAGAGGAUGAAGAGGUGGAGAGUAGGAAUAGAGAAUAUGAGGAGGGAUAGAGAGAAGAUGAGGUGGAGCGUAGGAAUAGAGAGAAGAUGAGGAAGUGGAAUAGCGACGAUGAUGAGAUGGAGGAUUAGAGAAGAUGAGGGGGAACAGAGAGAUGAUGAGGUGAGACGAGGAAUAGAGAGAAGAUGAGGAGGGAUGUGCGAGGUAGUAAUGCAUCAUCAUCAUGACUUACAUUUUAGUCAUUUAGCAGACGCUCUUAUCCAGAGCGACUUACAGUAGUGAAUGCAUACAUUUCAUAAAAAAAUUUUCCCCAUACUGGUCCCCCGUGGGAAUCGAACCCUGGCGUUGCAAACACCAUGCUCUACCAACUGAGCCACACAGGACUACGUCAUUGUAAAUAAUAAUUUGUUCUUAACUGACUUG